RNAcentral lists this ribosomal RNA (648 nucleotides) under Triticum aestivum (bread wheat). RNAcentral describes it as "partial small subunit ribosomal RNA". The record is from RNAcentral. Lineage: Eukaryota; Viridiplantae; Streptophyta; Magnoliopsida; Poales; Poaceae.
AUGGAAAGGAUGUCUCUCUCCUAUUUUAAGGAGAUUUUCACGAUGGACCCAACCCUCUCCCCUGUUGCGGUCCUUGAAUGUAUCACGCCUAUGGUCACUGCGGAGAUAAAUGAGUCGUUAUGUAAACCUUACACUGAGGAGGAGAUUUCAAAUGCCCUCUUCCAGAUCAGACCAAUGAAGGCUCCGGGCUAUGAUGGGUUUCCAGCUAGGUUUUAUCAACGGAAUUGGGUGCUGCUAAAAGUUGAAGUUAUUGCGGCAGUGCAGGAAUUCUUUUCUUCGGGUGUUAUGCCUUAUGGGGUCAAUAAAACAAUGAUUGUAUUAAUCCCUAAAGUCCCUCAUCCCAAGGAGCUUAAGGAUUUCCGUCCAAUCAGCUUGUGUAAUUUCAUAUACAAAAUUGUUUCUAAGUGCUUGGUGAAUACACUUCCGCCCCUCCUCACCGAGCCCAUUUCUGAGAAUGAAAGUGCAUUCAUUCCGGGGAGGCUUAUUUCUGAUAAUUCAAUCAUUGCUUUUGAAUGCAUCCACCAAAUACAGCCAGUCAAGAAUAACUCUCCAGCCUUAUGUGCGUACAAGCUUGAUUUAUCUAAGGCUUAUGUGCGUACAAGCUUGAUUUAUCUAAGGCUUAUGAUCGCAUGGACUGGGAGUUUUUAG